Long non-coding RNA from Homo sapiens (human), 853 nucleotides. The record is from Ensembl. Lineage: Eukaryota; Metazoa; Chordata; Mammalia; Primates; Hominidae.
GAUCCCUCUGCCUCCUGACUGAUCAUGGUGAUUCCCCAGUUGGCUCCCCCAGGGUAUGGUAUACCCCUUCUCUUGGAAUAUGUGUGAGCAUUCGGAUCACCAACGCUGUGACCUCGCUGUGUGAACGGGAGCUACUACAGGAAGGAAGCUUACAAAUGAGCUGCAUGGAUCCCACAUUUUGCUAAAAUCAAAUAGGACCUUUCUCCUCUUUGUUGAAUGCCGUAAUACACAAGAAAUAAGCCAGCAGGAUGCUCAUGUCCAAGGUUUCCCUUUAUCUACCACACGAGUUGGCAUGAAACAACUUCUGGGGUUCAAAUCUUCUGAACAAUGAUACAAGUCUUGGCAAAUUUCAAGAAUAAUUUAAAGAGGAAAUAAAUAGCUUUUUGUUUAACUUGGAUCAAUUAUCUCCUAUUGCUCCCAGCUUCAUGCCAGGUACUCUCCACUGUGCCUGGGAAAUAUGAAUCCCUGCCCUCAUGAAAAAACAUUGGCCAUGAGGAUUUUCCCUACAACCCAAGAACUAUUUGAAGUUUGAAGUCUUUCAGCCCAGACAACACUGGCUAUUUUCACCUUUGCCUUCAACUAUAAAGGCUGGGCUCUCUCUGCAGGAGUGGUGAAACCUGCAAGCCAGAGGUAAAAAUGAGGGCAAAGCUCUUCAAAUCUUUGGAAGCAGAACGGUGUUCUGAGACGACAAUGAGAUUAGCUUUGCUCAGUUAUACAAAGAGAAAAACACUUUACCAGGAGAGCCUCAAUCAACCUGAACAAUGAAGAGAAAGAAACAAGCCUGGUGAUUGGAAAGGAAGUUCUUUAAGUGUGAAUUGCUCCGAGUACAAUAUAAACCUUGUCAGUUAUGGGA